GAUGAACGCUGGCGGCGUGCUUAACACAUGCAAGUCGAACGGGAAAUCUUUCAUUGAGACUUCGGUGGAUUUGAUUUAUUUCUAGUGGCGGACGGGUGAGUAACGCGUGGGUAACCUGCCUUAUACAGGGGGAUAACAGUCAGAAAUGGCUGCUAAUACCGCAUAAGCGCACAGAGCUGCAUGGCUCAGUGUGAAAAACUCCGGUGGUAUAAGAUGGACCCGCGUUGGAUUAGCUAGUUGGUGGGGUAACGGCCCACCAAGGCGACGAUCCAUAGCCGGCCUGAGAGGGUGAACGGCCACAUUGGGACUGAGACACGGCCCAGACUCCUACGGGAGGCAGCAGUGGGGAAUAUUGCACAAUGGGGGAAACCCUGAUGCAGCGACGCCGCGUGAAGGAAGAAGUAUCUCGGGAUGUAAACUUCUAUCAGCAGGGAAGAUAGUGACGGUACCUGACGAAGAAGCCCCGGCUAACUACGUG
This 478-nucleotide ribosomal RNA is filed under the name uncultured bacterium. RNAcentral describes it as "partial 16S ribosomal RNA". It matches the Rfam family "Bacterial small subunit ribosomal RNA", at positions 28 to 507 of the family's 1533-position model. The record is from RNAcentral.